AUUGAACGCUGGCGGCAUGCCUUACACAUGCAAGUCGAACGGCAACGCGGGGGGCAACCCUGGCGGCGAGUGGCGAACGGGUGAGUAAUAUAUCGGAACGUGCCCUAGAGUGGGGGAUAACUAGUCGAAAGAUUAGCUAAUACCGCAUACGAUCUACGGAUGAAAGUGGGGGAUCGCAAGACCUCAUGCUCUGGGAGCGGCCGAUAUCUGAUUAGCUAGUUGGNGAGGUAAAGGCUCACCAAGGCGACGAUCAGUAGCUGGUCUGAGAGGACGACCAGCCACACUGGGACUGAGACACGGCCCAGACUCCUACGGGAGGCAGCAGUGGGGAAUUUUGGACAAUGGGGGCAACCCUGAUCCAGCAAUGCCGCGUGUGUGAAGAAGGCCUCGGUUGUAAG
This 398-nucleotide ribosomal RNA is filed under the name uncultured bacterium. RNAcentral's name for it is "bacterial SSU rRNA". It matches the Rfam family "Bacterial small subunit ribosomal RNA", at positions 30 to 429 of the family's 1533-position model. The record is from RNAcentral.